Molecule: ribosomal RNA, 2888 nt
Filed under: Pseudomonas aeruginosa
Lineage: Bacteria; Pseudomonadati; Pseudomonadota; Gammaproteobacteria; Pseudomonadales; Pseudomonadaceae
Description: 23S ribosomal RNA
Rfam family: Bacterial large subunit ribosomal RNA
Source: RNAcentral
GGUCAAGUGAAGAAGCGCAUACGGUGGAUGCCUUGGCAGUCAGAGGCGAUGAAAGACGUGGUAGCCUGCGAAAAGCUUCGGGGAGUCGGCAAACAGACUUUGAUCCGGAGAUCUCUGAAUGGGGGAACCCACCUAGGAUAACCUAGGUAUCUUGUACUGAAUCCAUAGGUGCAAGAGGCGAACCAGGGGAACUGAAACAUCUAAGUACCCUGAGGAAAAGAAAUCAACCGAGAUUCCCUUAGUAGUGGCGAGCGAACGGGGAUUAGCCCUUAAGCUUCAUUGAUUUUAGCGGAACGCUCUGGAAAGUGCGGCCAUAGUGGGUGAUAGCCCCGUACGCGAAAGGAUCUUUGAAGUGAAAUCGAGUAGGACGGAGCACGAGAAACUUUGUCUGAACAUGGGGGGACCAUCCUCCAAGGCUAAAUACUACUGACUGACCGAUAGUGAACCAGUACCGUGAGGGAAAGGCGAAAAGAACCCCGGAGAGGGGAGUGAAAUAGAACCUGAAACCGUAUGCGUACAAGCAGUGGGAGCCUACUUGUUAGGUGACUGCGUACCUUUUGUAUAAUGGGUCAGCGACUUAUAUUCAGUGGCAAGCUUAACCGUAUAGGGUAGGCGUAGCGAAAGCGAGUCUUAAUAGGGCGUUUAGUCGCUGGGUAUAGACCCGAAACCGGGCGAUCUAUCCAUGAGCAGGUUGAAGGUUAGGUAACACUGACUGGAGGACCGAACCCACUCCCGUUGAAAAGGUAGGGGAUGACUUGUGGAUCGGAGUGAAAGGCUAAUCAAGCUCGGAGAUAGCUGGUUCUCCUCGAAAGCUAUUUAGGUAGCGCCUCAUGUAUCACUGGGGGGUAGAGCACUGUUUCGGCUAGGGGGUCAUCCCGACUUACCAAACCGAUGCAAACUCCGAAUACCCAGAAGUGCCGAGCAUGGGAGACACACGGCGGGUGCUAACGUCCGUCGUGAAAAGGGAAACAACCCAGACCGCCAGCUAAGGUCCCAAAGUUGUGGUUAAGUGGUAAACGAUGUGGGAAGGCUUAGACAGCUAGGAGGUUGGCUUAGAAGCAGCCACCCUUUAAAGAAAGCGUAAUAGCUCACUAGUCGAGUCGGCCUGCGCGGAAGAUGUAACGGGGCUCAAACCACACACCGAAGCUGCGGGUGUCACGUAAGUGACGCGGUAGAGGAGCGUUCUGUAAGCCUGUGAAGGUGAGUUGAGAAGCUUGCUGGAGGUAUCAGAAGUGCGAAUGCUGACAUGAGUAACGACAAUGGGUGUGAAAAACACCCACGCCGAAAGACCAAGGGUUCCUGCGCAACGUUAAUCGACGCAGGGUUAGUCGGUUCCUAAGGCGAGGCUGAAAAGCGUAGUCGAUGGGAAACAGGUUAAUAUUCCUGUACUUCUGGUUACUGCGAUGGAGGGACGGAGAAGGCUAGGCCAGCUUGGCGUUGGUUGUCCAAGUUUAAGGUGGUAGGCUGAAAUCUUAGGUAAAUCCGGGGUUUCAAGGCCGAGAGCUGAUGACGAGUCGUCUUUUAGAUGACGAAGUGGUUGAUGCCAUGCUUCCAAGAAAAGCUUCUAAGCUUCAGGUAACCAGGAACCGUACCCCAAACCGACACAGGUGGUCGGGUAGAGAAUACCAAGGCGCUUGAGAGAACUCGGGUGAAGGAACUAGGCAAAAUGGCACCGUAACUUCGGGAGAAGGUGCGCCGGCUAGGGUGAAGGAUUUACUCCGUAAGCUCUGGCUGGUCGAAGAUACCAGGCCGCUGCGACUGUUUAUUAAAAACACAGCACUCUGCAAACACGAAAGUGGACGUAUAGGGUGUGACGCCUGCCCGGUGCCGGAAGGUUAAUUGAUGGGGUUAGCGCAAGCGAAGCUCUUGAUCGAAGCCCCGGUAAACGGCGGCCGUAACUAUAACGGUCCUAAGGUAGCGAAAUUCCUUGUCGGGUAAGUUCCGACCUGCACGAAUGGCGUAACGAUGGCGCGCUGUCUCCACCCGAGACUCAGUGAAAUUGAAAUCGCUGUGAAGAUGCAGUGUAUCCGCGGCUAGACGGAAAGACCCCGUGAACCUUUACUGUAGCUUUGCACUGGACUUUGAGCCUGCUUGUGUAGGAUAGGUGGGAGGCUUUGAAGCGUGGACGCCAGUUCGCGUGGAGCCAUCCUUGAAAUACCACCCUGGCAUGCUUGAGGUUCUAACUCUGGUCCGUGAUCCGGAUCGAGGACAGUGUAUGGUGGGCAGUUUGACUGGGGCGGUCUCCUCCUAAAGAGUAACGGAGGAGUACGAAGGUGCGCUCAGACCGGUCGGAAAUCGGUCGUAGAGUAUAAAGGCAAAAGCGCGCUUGACUGCGAGACAGACACGUCGAGCAGGUACGAAAGUAGGUCUUAGUGAUCCGGUGGUUCUGUAUGGAAGGGCCAUCGCUCAACGGAUAAAAGGUACUCCGGGGAUAACAGGCUGAUACCGCCCAAGAGUUCAUAUCGACGGCGGUGUUUGGCACCUCGAUGUCGGCUCAUCACAUCCUGGGGCUGAAGCCGGUCCCAAGGGUAUGGCUGUUCGCCAUUUAAAGUGGUACGCGAGCUGGGUUUAGAACGUCGUGAGACAGUUCGGUCCCUAUCUGCCGUGGACGUUUGAGAUUUGAGAGGGGCUGCUCCUAGUACGAGAGGACCGGAGUGGACGAACCUCUGGUGUUCCGGUUGUCACGCCAGUGGCAUUGCCGGGUAGCUAUGUUCGGAAAAGAUAACCGCUGAAAGCAUCUAAGCGGGAAACUUGCCUCAAGAUGAGAUCUCACUGGGAACUUGAUUCCCCUGAAGGGCCGUCGAAGACUACGACGUUGAUAGGCUGGGUGUGUAAGCGUUGUGAGGCGUUGAGCUAACCAGUACUAAUUGCCCGUGAGGCUUGACCAU